UAGCCCUCAUUUCUGCUGGUUUUUUUUCAGCGUGGUCUGCCACCGUCCGGCCAGCCACCAGCUGCCAUCCCACUCCAGUUUUGACCCCCAUCACCUCCUCUCUCUCCCCGGCCAAGCCCCCGAGCCGUUAGCCCGCCGGAAGAGGAGAAAACUCGCCGGAGUCGUCGGGAAGCUUUUUGCCGGAAAUCCCACCUCCGGCCAUCAUAGGUCGAAAUCUUUGGCUCAUCUUGUAGCCCUCAUCGAGGUGAGUAUUCCCUCAAAAGGAAUUAGUCUAUUUCGUUGUUGUUAUGGAGAAAUGUAUAAUUGAAGUUUUUAGGGAUUUAUGGAAGUUUUGAUUCGUUUGCCCUAGUUAGCCUUAGAAAUGGACUAAGUGCUAGUUAUGAAUGUUGUUGAGCAUGAUGAGAGGAAUAUUCUGUGAAAAUUUGAGAAGCAUUGGAGGUCGCCGGAAAACGGCUGCCGGCCGCCGCCGCCGCCCCUUAGGGGCAGUUUUUCAUGCUUUUUGGGUUUGUUUUAAUGAGAGGAGUUUAAUGAAGUAUAGUUUGGAAUUUUUGGAGGAGAUUUGAUAAGGUUUAGGAUUUAUCUAUGAUUAAGGAUUUGGCGGUUAUUCGAAUGGAAAUCCGGCAGUUGGUUUAGCAGGUUUUAAAGUCUAAAAAAGUUAAAUUAUGGCUUUCGGUAAGUGCGAAGUAAUGUGAGCAUUAUUAGGUAAAAUGUGGAGAAGUUAGGCAAGCGAAAUGAAAUUAUAGGCUUCCUUUUUAUUUCGGAAAUUUGAUUAAAGUUUUGUCCUGGUUUGGAGGCUAAAUGAUUAUUUAUUGUUCAGGACGUGAGGAGGAUCAUUUGGAGGAGGCCUCGGGCCGUCGGUAAGCAUAGCCGAGCACUGUGAGUGGACCUUUGAUUUUAAUAUCAUGCAUGCGCUAAAGUUAUUUAAUUUCAAAGGCAUUUGGAGAUAUAAUAUUUUGUUGGAUUAUCGAGUUCCACUUAUUUUUCCGGAACUCUCUUGCUAAUUUUAGUUGACACGUGGGACGUGUCAAGUGUUUUAUACUAUUUCCAUGUACAGUUGGGAACUGUACUGUGNNNNNNNNNNNNNNNNNNNNGGUAGGAGGCGAGUCAUAUUUCCCACCUCAUCCAGUU
This 1128-nucleotide long non-coding RNA is filed under the name Fragaria vesca (wild strawberry). RNAcentral describes it as "long non-coding RNA (FVES_LNC000419)". Lineage: Eukaryota; Viridiplantae; Streptophyta; Magnoliopsida; Rosales; Rosaceae. The record is from RNAcentral.